AGAGUUUGAUCCUGGCUCAGGAUGAACGCUGGCGGCGUGCAUAAGACAUGCAAGUCGAACGGGUUUAGACCCGUGGCGAACGGGUGAGUAACGCGUGGGAACUUCCAUUAAGUUUGGGAUAUCCUUCCGAAAGGGAGAGCAAUACCAAAUGUGGUCGCAAGACUAAAGAUUUAUCGCUUAAUGCAAGGCCCGCGUCCCAUCAGCUAGUUGGUAGGGUAAAAGCCUACCAAGGCUAUGACGGGUAGCGGAACCGAGAGGUUGAUCCGCCACACUGGGACUGCGACACGGCCCAGACUCCUACGGGAGGCAGCAGUUUGGAAUUUUGGACAAUGGGCGAAAGCCUGAUCCAGCGACGCCGCGUGCACGAAGAAGGCCUUCGGGUUGUAAAGUGCUUUUAGCAGGGAAAAAUUUGGAUGUACCUGCAGAAUAA
RNAcentral lists this ribosomal RNA (430 nucleotides) under uncultured bacterium. Its description in RNAcentral is "partial 16S ribosomal RNA". It matches the Rfam family "Bacterial small subunit ribosomal RNA", at positions 8 to 489 of the family's 1533-position model. The record is from RNAcentral.